CUAAAUUAAUUAUUUAAUAUUUUUCUAUAACCUUUAUAUUUUUUUGUAAAUAAAUAAUAAAUACUAACUAUUUUAAUAACUUUUUUUUAUUACUUACUUAUAAUAAUAAAUCCUUAUAUAUUAUGUAAAUAAAAUCUAAUUGACCAUUUUUCUAAUUGAAUAAUAAUAAUAAACCUAUUAAUCUAAUAAUUUGAUAUUUUC
RNAcentral lists this long non-coding RNA (201 nucleotides) under Lathyrus oleraceus (garden pea). Its description in RNAcentral is "Pisum sativum (pea) long non-coding RNA (PSAT_LNC028252)". The record is from RNAcentral. Lineage: Eukaryota; Viridiplantae; Streptophyta; Magnoliopsida; Fabales; Fabaceae.